GGCAGCGGGGGUAGCUUGCUACCUGCCGGCGAGUGGCGAACGGGUGAGUAAUACAUCGGAACGUGCCCUGUAGUGGGGGAUAACUAGUCGAAAGACUAGCUAAUACCGCAUACGACCUGAGGGUGAAAGUGGGGGACCGCAAGGCCUCAUGCUAUAGGAGCGGCCGAUGUCUGAUUAGCUAGUUGGUGGGGUAAAGGCCCACCAAGGCGACGAUCAGUAGCUGGUCUGAGAGGACGAUCAGCCACACUGGGACUGAGACACGGCCCAGACUCCUACGGGAGGCAGCAGUGGGGAAUUUUGGACAAUGGGGGCAACCCUGAUCCAGCAAUGCCGCGUGUGUGAAGAAGGCCUUCGGGUUGUAAAGCACUUUUGUCCGGAAAGAAAUCGCACUGGUUAAUACCUGGUGUGGAUGACGGUACCGGAAGAAUAAGGACCGGCUAACUACGUGCCAGCAGCCGCGGUAAUACGUAGGGUCCAAGCGUUAAUCGGAAUUACUGGGCGUAAAGCGUGCGCAGGCGGUUGUGCAAGACCGAUGUGAAAUCCCCGGGCUUAACCUGGGAAUUGCAUUGGUGACUGCACGGCUAGAGUGUGUCAGAGGGAGGUAGAAUUUCCACGUGUAGCAGUGAAAUGCGUAGAGAUGUGGAGGAAUACCGAUGGCGAAGGCAGCCUCCUGGGAUAACACUGACGCUCAUGCACGAAAGCGUGGGGGAGCAAACAGGAUUAGAUACCCUGGUAGUCCACGCCCUAAACGAUGUCAACUAGUUGUUGGGGAUUCAUUUCCUUAGUAACGUAGCUAACGCGUGAAGUUGACCGCCUGGGGAGUACGGUCGCAAGAUUAAAACUCAAAGGAAUUGACGGGGACCCGCACAAGCGGUGGAUGAUGUGGAUUAAUUCGAUGCAACGCGAAAAACCUUACCUACCCUUGACAUGCCACUAACGAAGCAGAGAUGCAUUAGGUGCUCGAAAGAGAAAGUGGACACAGGUGCUGCAUGGCUGUCGUCAGCUCGUGUCGUGAGAUGUUGGGUUAAGUCCCGCAACGAGCGCAACCCUUGUCUCUAGUUGCUACGAAAGGGCACUCUAGAGAGACUGCCGGUGACAAACCGGAGGAAGGUGGGGAUGACGUCAAGUCCUCAUGGCCCUUAUGGGUAGGGCUUCACACGUCAUACAAUGGUGCAUACAGAGGGUUGCCAAGCCGCGAGGUGGAGCUAAUCCCAGAAAAUGCAUCGUAGUCCGGAUCGUAGUCUGCAACUCGACUACGUGAAGCUGGAAUCGCUAGUAAUCGCGGAUCAGCAUGCCGCGGUGAAUACGUUCCCGGGUCUUGUACACACCGCCCGUCACACCAUGGGAGUGGGCUUUACCAGAAGUAGUUAGCCUAACCGCAAGGAGGGCGAUUACCACGGUAGGGUUCAUGAC
This 1413-nucleotide ribosomal RNA is filed under the name Ralstonia solanacearum. RNAcentral describes it as "bacterial SSU rRNA". It matches the Rfam family "Bacterial small subunit ribosomal RNA". The record is from RNAcentral. Lineage: Bacteria; Pseudomonadati; Pseudomonadota; Betaproteobacteria; Burkholderiales; Burkholderiaceae.